Molecule: long non-coding RNA, 746 nt
Organism: Zingiber officinale
Lineage: Eukaryota; Viridiplantae; Streptophyta; Magnoliopsida; Zingiberales; Zingiberaceae
Exons: 3
Source: RefSeq, a predicted model, not a curated record
UUCACUCACUGUACACCGAAAUCACCGUCUCCUCCAUUUCACCCUAGCUCCACCAUUUUGACGAAGUUCUUCCCAGUGUCUUGAGGUCCGGCCUAGCAUCAUCUGAUGCCGACGAUCUCACGGAGGAGGCUAUGACUAGACGCAGAGGUCUCCAUCCACCUCACCCUGGUGCGAGAGUGGGCGAGUGCUUUCGACAGUGGCAAGAGGCAGAGAAAGCAAGUUCAUUUCCCUAUAAAAGUGUGAGAUCCAUGAGGCAAAAUGCAGAAUCAAAGAAGUUGGAUGUAUAAAAGGAAUUUACUUGAUCAUCGAGGUUUAACUGGAAAUCUUGAAUGCUACAAAUGAACCAUUAUGGGUUGGUUGUGAUGCUCACACUAAAUUAUCUCUCACUGCAAGACUAUUUAAUGUCAAGGAGGAGCAUAAUGUAUUGCAAGAUUAUUUUAAUGAUUUUGUUCAAGUUAUUGGAGAGCCAUUGUCGCGUGAUCACAUGCUGCCCAAUGAUUUUUACUGUAUGAAAAAAUUUAUGAAAGAAUUAGGUAUUUCAGUGGAAAAAAUUGAUGUUUGCAGAGAUGAUUGUAUGUUAUAUUGGGGAGAUGAUACAGAUACUGAUGUUUAUAAAUUUUGUAAUCAAGCUAGGUACAAGAGCACCAGACGAAGUCAACAAUGAUAUAAAUCAUACAUCCGGUUGUUUAUUUACCUUUAACUUAUAGGCUACAAGGUUUUAUGCAUCAAAGAUUACUGUUGAACAC